CCGAAAAUGUACCGGGGCUAAACAUAUUACCGAAGCUGUGGAUUGUCCUUUGGACAAUGGUAGGAGAGCGUUCUAAGGGCGUUGAAGCAUGAUCGCAAGGACAUGUGGAGCGCUUAGAAGUGAGAAUGCCGGUGUGAGUAGCGAAAGAUGGGUGAGAAUCCCGUCCACCGAUUGACUAAGGUUUCCAGAGGAAGGCUCGUCCGCUCUGGGUUAGUCGGGUCCUAAGCUGAGGCCGACAGGCGUAGGCGAUGGAUAACAGGUUGAUAUUCCUGUACCACCUAUAAUCGUUUUAAUCGAUGGGGGGACGCAGUAGGAUAGGCGAAGCGUGCGAUUGGAUUGCACGUCUAAGCAGUAAGGCUGAGUAUUAGGCAAAUCCGGUACUCGUUAAGGCUGAGCUGUGAUGGGGAGAAGACAUUGUGUCUUCGAGUCGUUGAUUUCACACUGCCGAGAAAAGUCUCUAGAUAGAAAAUAGGUGCCCGUACCGCAAACCGACACAGGUAGUCAAGAUGAGAAUUCUAAGGUGAGCGAGCGAACUCUCGUUAAGGAACUCGGCAAAAUGACCCCGUAACUUCGGGAGAAGGGGUGCUCUUUAGGGUUAACGCCCAGAAGAGCCGCAGUGAAUAGGCCCAAGCGACUGUUUAUCAAAAACACAGGUCUCUGCUAAACCGUAAGGUGAUGUAUAGGGGCUGACGCCUGCCCGGUGCUGGAAGGUUAAGAGGAGUGGUUAGCUUCUGCGAAGCUACGAAUCGAAGCCCCAGUAAACGGCGGCCGUAACUAUAACGGUCCUAAGGUAGCGAAAUUCCUUGUCGGGUAAGUUCCGACCCGCACGAAAGGCGUAACGAUUUGGGCACUGUCUCAACGAGAGACUCGGUGAAAUCAUAGUACCUGUGAAGAUGCAGGUUACCCGCGACAGGACGGAAAGACCCCGUGGAGCUUUACUGUAGCCUGAUAUUGAAAUUCGGCACAGCUUGUACAGGAUAGGUAGGAGCCUUUGAAACGUGAGCGCUAGCUUACGUGGAGGCGCUGGUGGGAUACUACCCUAGCUGUGUUGGCUUUCUAACCCGCACCACUUAUCGUGGUGGGAGACAGUGUCAGGCGGGCAGUUUGACUGGGGCGGUCGCCUCCUAAAAGGUAACGGAGGCGCUCAAAGGUUCCCUCAGAAUGGUUGGAAAUCAUUCAUAGAGUGUAAAGGCAUAAGGGAGCUUGACUGCGAGACCUACAAGUCGAGCAGGGUCGAAAGACGGACUUAGUGAUCCGGUGGUUCCGCAUGGAAGGGCCAUCGCUCAACGGAUAAAAGCUACCCCGGGGAUAACAGGCUUAUCUCCCCCAAGAGUUCACAUCGACGGGGAGGUUUGGCACCUCGAUGUCGGCUCAUCGCAUCCUGGGGCUGUAGUCGGUCCCAAGGGUUGGGCUGUUCGCCCAUUAAAGCGGUACGCGAGCUGGGUUCAGAACGUCGUGAGACAGUUCGGUCCCUAUCCGUCGUGGGCGUAGGAAAUUUGAGAGGAGCUGUCCUUAGUACGAGAGGACCGGGAUGGACAUACCUCUGGUGUACCAGUUGUCGUGCCAACGGCAUAGCUGGGUAGCUAUGUGUGGACGGGAUAAGUGCUGAAAGCAUCUAAGCAUGAAGCCCCCCUCAAGAUGAGAUUUCCCAACUUCGGUUAUAAGAUCCCUCAAAGAUGAUGAGGUUAAUAGGUUCGAGGUGGAAGCAUGGUGACAUGUGGAGCUGACGAAUACUAAUCGAUCGAAGACUUAAUCAA
RNAcentral lists this ribosomal RNA (1757 nucleotides) under Staphylococcus aureus M1208. RNAcentral describes it as "bacterial LSU rRNA". It matches the Rfam family "Bacterial large subunit ribosomal RNA", at positions 1164 to 2925 of the family's 2925-position model. Lineage: Bacteria; Bacillati; Bacillota; Bacilli; Caryophanales; Staphylococcaceae. The record is from RNAcentral.